This 2004-nucleotide ribosomal RNA is filed under the name Triticum aestivum (bread wheat). RNAcentral's name for it is "partial small subunit ribosomal RNA". The record is from RNAcentral. Lineage: Eukaryota; Viridiplantae; Streptophyta; Magnoliopsida; Poales; Poaceae.
AUGGUUUUAUCAACUGUGAAAAGGAAGACUUCUACUCCCCUCAAUGGGACCGAGCAUGAAGUAAACGUUGAUGAGGAGGAUGGCUUCAUCCUCAGAGAUCGUCUUCUCCCCCUCAUUAUUUGCCUGCUGAGAACGGACAAAGUUCCUGCAGUGCUCAGAAUGUACCGGGAUACCCUUAUUACUGUUAUGAAAGCUUCAAUCAAAUCCACAGUUGCAGAGAUGCUUCCAGUCUUGAUUUCCAAACCAAUAGAUUCUGAUUCAGUAACUGGAGACAGAGCUGCCGAUUCUGAUGCUGGAGGCCAGUCUUUAGCAAAUAAACUGCGUAGUCUAUCAUCUGAAGGGUUUGUUCAGCUUUUAUCGGCUAUUUUUAGUAUAGUUCAGGUACAUCUCCAGCAAGCAGCUGAAGUUAAAAAAAUAGUUCAGUGGAUCAUGCGAAACCUUGAUGGGAACAUAAGUCCUGAUGACAGAAAUCCUGUCGUACAACAUGGUGGCUCAGUUGAUCUUUCCCAAGAGAAAGACUAUGAUGUUACUUCACGGGUCUCUAAUACUGUUACACGCACGCCUACUAAGCUUCCGUUGUUUCAAGGAAAGACAAAUGAUAUGUCCAGUAUAAAUUCAAUAAAAAAUAUUCGAGCUGAUGUGUUGAGAGAAAGCACAGAAGCAGUGUUUGCUGCAUGUGAUGCUGCACAUGGACGAUGGGCUAAGCUGCUAGGUGUUCGUGCUGCUCUACAUCCCAAGUUAAGGCUUCAGGAGUUCCUGAUCAUCUAUAAUAUAACAGAAGAGUUUAUAGCUGCUACAGAAAAGGUUGGAGGCAGGUUAGGUUACAACAUUCGCGGAAUUCUACAGCAACAGUCAAAGCAAUUUGUUGAGUAUCAGCAUAGUGUUCGGAUGGCAAAAAUUAAGGCAGUUCUUGACCAAGAGACGUGGAUUGCUGUUGAUGUUCCUGAAGAGUUCCAAGCGAUUGUUCUGUCACUGUCAUCAACUGACUUUCCUGUUAAUGGCAUGGAGAUGCCUAGCAAUGAUAACAACUCAAAGCUCAGUGAGGAUGGGGUUUCAACAAGUCAAGAAUCAGCACAUUCAACUGAAAAUAAUGUUGAAAAUAGCAAUGGGACAUCUACGACAAGCAAUGAAAACAAGGUUGAAUCCACUUCUCAGACUGAAAAUAGUGUUGCUGGCCAUGUUAGGCCAGUCGCGCAAACCAUUGUGCUUGGAGGUGUUGGCUAUCAUAUGGUGAACUGCGGUUUGAUAUUGUUGAAAAUGCUAUCAGAAUAUGUUGACAUCAGUAAAUGUUUGCCAUCGUUAUCUUUUGAGGUGGUCCAACGUGUUGUUGAGAUAUUAAAGCAUUUCAAUACCAGGACUUGCCAACUGGUUCUUGGCGCAGGUGCCAUGCAGGUAUCUGGUCUGAAAUCAAUUACUUCUAAGCAUUUAGCUUUAGCAAGUCAAAUUAUCAGUUUCAUACAUUCUUUGAUUCCAGAUAUUCGUCGAGUACUUUUCCUGAAAAUACCGGAAGCACGCAAACAUCUGUUGAUGUCUGAACUGGAUAGAGUUACUCAGGACUAUAAGGUUCAUCGAGAUGAAAUUCACACCAAGCUAGUCCAGAUAAUGAGAGAGAGAUUGCUAGCAAAUCUUAGAAAAUUACCGCAAAUCAUGGAGAGUUGGAAUGGACCAGAUGAUAAUGAUUCGCAGCCAAGUCUAUUCGCCAAAGCUGUUACAAAGGAAGUCACUUACUUGCAUCGCAUCCUUUCUCAAAUACUGCUUGAGGUAGAUCUGCAAGCGAUAUUCAGGCAAGUAGUCCAGAUAUUCCAUUCCCAUAUCACAGAAGCAUUUUCAAAGUUGGAAAUCAGUAGUCCUCAGGCAAAGAACAGAUUAUGUCGAGAUGUUCAACAUAUUCUUGUAUGUAUUCGAAAGUUGCCUGCUCAGAACUUCAGCUCAGAACCUGUUCGAAAUUAUGGUCUUCUUGACGAGUUCUUGGCUGAGAAGUUCGGGACAAAAGUUGACGGGUGA